UACAGAGGGCUCAAGCGUUGUUCGGAUUCACUGGGCGUAAAGGGUGCGUAGGUGGCCAGGUAAGUUCGGUGUGAAAGCUCGGAGCUUAACUCCGAAAUGGCAUUGAAUACUAUCUGGCUAGAGGGUCGGAGGGGAGACUGGAAUUCUCGGUGUAGCAGUGAAAUGCGUAGAUAUCGAGAGGAACACCAGUGGCGAAGGCGAGUCUCUGGACGACUCCUGACACUGAGGCACGAAAGCCAGGGGAGCAAACAGG
This 253-nucleotide ribosomal RNA is filed under the name uncultured bacterium. RNAcentral's name for it is "partial 16S ribosomal RNA". It matches the Rfam family "Bacterial small subunit ribosomal RNA", at positions 524 to 776 of the family's 1533-position model. The record is from RNAcentral.